ACGAACGCCAUGAAGAAGCGAUAAAGGAAUCACAAGAAAGGAUUAAUAUUCCAGACAUUCCAGAGGCACAAGUUGAUAAAAAGAACAGGCGAUUGGGUUAAUUCAAUUAUUCCACCCGAAAACACUUUACCUAGCAUGAAAGAUCAAACCUUACUGUAUCUAGCAGUUACUAAAUAACAAAACAAAACUUGCUAAAAUGACAUCCGGACGUAUUUGACGGUGAUGCAGCAGCACUGAAAAUCACAUUUGCAACGUAGCAGCAAAACACCCUCUUCAAAAAGGAGUUCUGCUAGGUUGAAUCCAUGGAAAUCCAUGGAAAGGAGCUUUUAACUAUGAUUAAGAAGCAUAUGUCACCGCGGAACAAGGGAUCAACUACUUACAGAGUUUUACCUGUGGGGAAGUCCAACACGUUGUCGACAACUUCCGGAGCACCAAUAUGACGCUUCAUACUUCAAUGAGGGUGACCACACAAGCUUGAGCUUCAAGAAUUCGCAAACCUCUGCAGACGUGAACAGUCAAAUCAAGCACUUGGCUUGUUUGAAUUAUCCUGGAGGUAUCCGGCCAAUUGUCGAGAAGCAUUCCUAAGAGCGAAGUAAGAGAAGGAGGUUGUCACGCAAGCAAAGAUCAAAAAUCAUCUGAACAUUCUUGUCGGAAGCUUCCAAAAAGAAGAAGACCAAAGAACUCUGUUGUAAGAACAGGAAGGAAAGCUCUCGAGACCCAACUCCAUCAAUAGUAAAAAGAACUGGUGCCCAUAUCACAAUUGCGACCGUGUUGGUCAAGUGGAGAACAAAAUCUUUUGGUGAAAAGACGGAUUGGAUACAGAAAGCCGGAUUGUGCUUUCGCUGCCCAUCGGAAGGGCACCAGGCCAACAACUGCCGAGCUAAGAUUAGUUGCACUA
Molecule: non-coding RNA, 898 nt
Organism: Paramuricea clavata
Lineage: Eukaryota; Metazoa; Cnidaria; Anthozoa; Malacalcyonacea; Plexauridae
Source: the annotation of a GenBank genome assembly